AUCCUUAUGCAAGGGAAUUACGCAUAUCAGUGAGGAUUCGUCCGAGAUUGUGUUUUUGCUGGUUGAAAACUUUAACCACGACCUCUCCUUUCAGUCUUUUGGCCUUGAGCCUGACUAUUAGGGAAUUUUUGGAAUCUUUUUUCA
This is a small nuclear RNA of 144 nucleotides. It matches the Rfam family "U4 spliceosomal RNA". Rfam says of the family: U4 small nuclear RNA (U4 snRNA) is a component of the major U2-dependent spliceosome. The structure of U4 snRNA from yeast and human has been reported.